GGUCAAAGGGCGAGCAAGAAUAAAUAAUCAAUCUGGAGGGAAUAAAUUAAGGCCUUUCUCGGGUUAUUCAUGGACGGCCUUCAUCUCUCCCAAGUACUCCUUAGGCCAAUUAAUCUCCUUCGUUUAAUUUACGCCUCCCAGCAUCUAAUAGCAACGAAGGUCGUUUCUUUUGAACCAGCCUGAAAAUCGCCAGCUUUUUGCUGCUACUCACAAGUCAGUGGGCAAUUUGGUACAGCUGCUUACAGCUCCACUUCUCUAGGGACGAAUAGGUAUAAUUCAUCCUAUCCUGCGCAUGCAGAGAUGUGUGAGCAGAUGGUGACCUAUAAAGCAAGGAUAAUGUGGGGUCCUACAGGUGGUGUUGGACUACAAAUCCCAUCAUUCCUGAUUGUCGCCCCUGCUGCCUCCGGCUUGUGGGAGCUGUAGUCCCAAACAUCCCCUUCCAUAAGGCAUUCCGGAGCCCUUCCAGCCAACCUGCAGCCAGGCAUACUACUACAUCAUCCGUUUAUUUGUAUGCCGCUCUUCCACAAAAUUGUACCUGAAGUCAGUGGCGAAGCUGCAUGCUCCGGCACCGGGGGGCGGAGAGCAGGUGGGGGCGUGGCUGGCGUGCAUCCUGGGGGCAUGGUGUGCCGUCCUGUGGGGCAUGGCGUGUGUCCUGGGGGCAUGGCAUGUCACCAGCGGGGGCAUGGCAUGAGUCCUGGGGGCGUGGCGCACCACCCGCACCUCCUGCUCUAGAGGGUAGGACUCGAACCAAUGGCUUCAAGUUACAAGAAAGGAGAUUCCAACUAAACAUACGGGGGGGGGGGGAGAGACUUUCUGACAGUAAGAGCUGUUCGGCCGUGGAACGGUCUCCCUCUGGAGGUGGUGGACUUUCCGAGAGCCAGUGUGGUGUAGUGGUUAAGAGUGGUAGUCUCGUAAUCUGGUGAAGUGGGUUCGCAUCUCCACUUCUCCACAUGCAGCUGCAGGGUGACCUUGGCCUAGUCACACUUUUCUGAAGUCUCUCAGCCUCACUCACCUCACAAAGUGUUUGUUGUGGGAGAAGAAGGGAAAGGAGAAUGUUAGCCGCUUUGAGACUCCUUCGGGUAGUGAUAAAGCGGGAUAUCAAAUCCAAACUCCUCUUCUUCUUCUUCUUCUUCUUCUUCUUCUUCUUCUUCUUCUUCUUCCUUGGAAGUUUUCAAGUAAAGGUUGGAUGGCCAUCUGUCAUGGAUGCUUUAGCUGAGAUUCCUGCAUUGCAGGGGGUUGGACUAGAUGAACCUUGGGUCCCUUCCAGCUCUAAGAUUCUAUGAUUUUUAAACCACUCUGGGAACUGUAGCUUUGGGAAGGGAAUAGGAAACCUUCUAAAAACCCUCAGUAACCUUAACAAAACUACAAGUCCCAGAAUUUUGCAAGCGAAGCAAUGAUGUUUAAAGUGGUAUCAUAGUGCCUUCAUUGUGUGGUAUGGGUGUGGUCUGAAUGUACCUCACAGCUCCCCCCCCCCCAUCAUUGGCUGGAGUUACACCCCAUUUCCCAGUAGGUAAGGCAACUGAAGGAAACAGCAGAGAGUGGGUUUGGCCCUACAUGCCUAAUUUUAGCUUGUUUAGCACUUGAGAGAGGAUUAGCUAGGCUGUGGUUAGCUGAGCUUAUUUUCCUCUGCAUUACAUGUGAAUUGUUCAUGCUUUUAUAGCCUUUAAGGAAAAUCUUAGAAUGACUUGGGGGAUGGCGGGUAUUAAGCAUCAAAGGGUAAUCCAACCACAUUUAUAAUUUCUCUGAACAUCUCUGCAGAGGAAUAAAUAUGAUUUCUGGAUACCUUAUCAUUUCUUCAUAGGUAAUUUGGCCGCACCAAAUAUAAAAUAAAAUAAAAUAUUAAUUAUCCACAUUUUCUCUUCUUCUGCCACAGGGUUUAAUGAUAUGCACCCUGUCGUAGAUCUCUGCUUUGCCUAUGAAAUGCAAUUACCGCUCCCUCCUGCUUUCAAAGUGAAGGCAGAUGUUAUAUGAAAAUUUACAGCUGCAAUCAGCACUCGACAGGUUAUGAACCUAAAUCAAGGCAGCAGCAAUAGUUGGGGGGGGGGGGGCGCUGGAUCCUGUAUCUGGUGUCUGGUUGCAGUUUAGGAACCAGAAGCCCCAGUACAAGCCGUUGGCUAGGAUAAAAGGACAAACAAGGAGGCAGAGUCAAUUUGCUGUCAGCUCCCCCUGAAGUCAGAUUUCCCUUUCUUUGAUGGAGGGGCCACCCUCAGAAGCAUUUCUGUCUGAUGAGCCUAUGGGGUCAGCAUCCCUCUGGCCUGAUGGUGUGGCAUUGCUGUCCCUGGACUCCAUCUGCCUGUAGAACAUCCCCUGCUCAGUUCGAGUAGGAGAUGACCGGAGCAGGUUGGGUGUCUUUUACUGAAGAAUCACCUUCCAGUGCAGGUGGAGCUAAAAGCUAGGAUGCUGCUGUCACUGUAGGGCUCAGACUUGUCUUGUUUGUGGCCGAAGCAACAGCAGAGGUCUCUGUGGCCGGAGUAAUAGUGAGCCCAAACCAAUGAACCACCAGGGAUACAGCAACACAGCAGAGACCAAGAAGACCUUGUUGCUUAAGCAAGACUGGAGGAGGAAGCCCUCUUCUAUUCAUCCCUGUUUAGGAAGUUCUGGUGAGCAGAGUCAUUUCAGGGCUGAAAGGUACUUCAAUGAGCAGUACUUUGGGCUCAGACCCCCCCCCCAACACCUUUAGGACCACCUCCCCACAUUUGAACUGACCUGGACUCUGUGAUCAUCAUCUGAGGCUCUUCUCCAUGAGUCCCCACCAUGGGAGAUCUAGAGGGUGGCAACAUAAGAGUGGACCUUUUCUGUGGUAGCUUCCUGUUUGUGGGCUACUGGCCCCAGGGAUGCCCUGCCUGACCCCCAUAUUACUUAUCUUUAGGUGCUAGGCAAAAGCAUUUCUUUUCUGCAAGACCUUUGUCUUCUCAUUAUCCUUGGCCUGCUUCAGUGGAUGGGCUGUUUUAAUCCUGCCUUUUAGUGUGUGUGUGUGUGUGUGCAUGCGCGCGCGCACACACAAUCUGUCUAUCAUCUAUCUAUCUAUCUAUCUAUCUAUCUAUCUAUCUAUCUAUCUAUGUGCCUGUUUUAAUAUAUGGAUUACUUAUUUACUGUUGUUACUGUUAUAUGCUGAUAUGCAUAUAUCUAUAUAUCUAUAUAUAUAUAUAUAGAUAUAUAGAUAUAUAGAUAUUACACGCCUCUGACCGGCAAGUCCUAGGCUCUGUGGUUUAACCCACAGCGCCACCCGCGUGCCAAUAUCUAGAGGUGUGAGGCCAAAACAUUUGUCACAGGGAGACUGCUUAAUGUAUCUCUGUAUGAUUGCUUGCUCUCUGUUCUCAUCAGCUUUGACUGUGUGGGGUUUGGUAGCAUUUGCACAUGCUCACAUUAGGUUUGAGAGGAUCAGUUGCUACAGGUACAAAACAUAACUAGCUGUGCUUGGGAGCAGCACACCCACGAUAAGAAACUCACAAAGAGACACAUAAGGUGCACUCUUCUGACAUAAGUCAGUCUUCAUUGUGCAUAGCCAAGGGCCUUACAAUAUCUAAAAUGUAGACAUACCUACACGGUACACAAAUUAAAAGAAAACUCAAUAUGGAAAAUUACAGAACAAUCACUAAUAGCUAUGUAUUCUACCCUCCAAGGGCAACAAAAUGUUGAAUUAAGAUUUAGAACGCAUUGCAAUUCUUAAUAUAACUAGAGCACAGCUUCUUAGCUGCCAGUGAAAAUUUAGCUGCCAAAUAUGUAAUGUGCAAUGGUUUAUCAGAAAGAAGUUCAAUUAGCACUUCCUGAGGUGAUUGGUCCGCCUACAACUGAAGGGAACAGAGGGCAAUGUUUUUCCACUGGGGUCCAAAUGGGAAGAACAGCAAAUAGUGCAUAGUAUCGCCAAUCUGAUUACAAUCAAAUAUACAAUUCCAUUCUGAGACCGAGAUUCCAAGAUGUCUCCCAUCUAUAUAUGCUGAGAGCAUGUUCUGGAACCUAAGUAAUAUAAAAGCCCUGUCUGAAAGUGAUGGCGCUUUGAAUGAUUUGUCUUGAUUUGGGGGUACCAGAUGGAAAAGCAAGCAACAACUAUUUCAAGGUCAAGUGAUUCUCUGGCUGAGGUUCCUUUUAAACAUGACAGCAGCUGCUGUUUUAUGAGUUUAUUUCCAUGUUUGGCAGGAGUGUCCAAGGACUCCUGCUCCCAUCAGCACUAGCCAGCAUGGCCAAUGGACAAGAAUGAUGGGAGCUGUGGUCCAUCAUCACCAGAAAGGCAAGGGUCUCUAAUCACUGCUUUAGUGGCUCAUAAUAUGGAUGGAGGCAACCGCGCGCAUCUUUAACAUCAAAUCAUCCCAACCCUGAUCUGGCUGCCGUGUUUUCACAUUGAGUGAGCCCCAAUCUCUGAACAGUGAGAAACUCCAGCACUUUCCCAGCAUUUAGUUUCCUUGAAACGAAGGUCAGUUGAGACUGUGAUAUCUUUAGGACAUGUUGUUUUACUAGCUGGGAGUGCCUGGUGGUUGCUGCUCGGGUAUUUUGAGAUGUUUAAAUGGAUAGUGCAAUUUGUGAAUUUGGACCUGCCAUGCCAAAAAUGGGAGGAGUUGCACACAAGUCACAAUUUGGUCUGCCACCUUGAUUCAAAAUGGCGUCCGGCAUCCAAACUUCAACAAUCUUGGGAGCCUUUGUGCCAAUUUUGGCAAUGAUAUCUGCUUACCUGUAAUUUCUAUAAAGGUGGUCGAAUUGGAUUGGUGACCCCCAUUCUCUCAAGAUUUCUAAGUGCGAUUUUUGAAUGUAUCUGGUCUACCUUUUGGCAGAGUCAAACAAAUGAUUAACAGAGAUGGUUGCUAGAUUUCUCCUUCUGGCUGUAGAAACACAAAAGGAAAUCUCCCCCAAUUAAACUCAUCCCAUCCAGUUGCUAUUCUCAUAUACUACACUUUUUAAUCUGGUUAUAUCAUUUAUUGGCUCACUCCUAGCUGCCAUAUUUUAAGGUAUCGUGUUGGACGUCAUAUUUAUACAUGUUUUAGAUACUCCUGCUAUUUUAUACCAUUUAUAUGACAACCCACUUUAAUGUAUUUUUAUGCUUUGAUAUUUUACUUGUACAGUUGUUGGUUUUAGUUUGUUUGGGUCUACAGUGGUAUAAUAAAGAAUUUGUAUCUUACUAUAUGGGCUUUUCCUAGAUUUUUAUGGAUUUAUUUCCAUCUUUUAGUUUGGAGUGUGUGUGGGGGGGUUUAAGGGAAAAAACCCUAAACAUGGAGUUCAUUAAAUGCUUAAUAUGCAUUCCACCCCCCAAAAAGCUAAUGAAGUAUCAGCUUAAGCGCACAUUUUAUGACCCACCAAUAAACAUGGGGCAACUGAUUAGCCUCUGGCUCACUUGUCUGAAAGAUAAAUUGAACUACGAUUGAAAGAAAGUUAAUACAAUUUAACUGCUAAUAUUGCAAAUGUCACUUUAAUUCAGUUACGGAGCAAUUAGAGUGACCACUUCUGUGCCUGCAUUCAAGAGUUAUAGCAAUUACAACCACGUGCAAUUAUCAGCCUCAUUUAACCAAGAUGCUUAAAUCUAAUUGAUGCAUGAAAGGAUUAAGACCAUAGAGUAAGCUAUCCUGCCAGGCAUAGCUCACCUUGGAAGGCACUAAGUAAUCAAACCAUUGUUCCUCUUCAGUCUACCUGGUGAACUCAGCAUGUGAAGAAGCUAAGCUGGUUGCUUCAGCUUAGCCGCAUGGCUUUCACAAGCCAUUCUUGAGUUCCUGUUGCAAGGCAUUUAACGGAUCCCUCUUCUGCCUUGAAGUUGGGCACUGUGACAUCAUUGAGCAACCCCACAUUGUACCUUCCGCCUUCUCUAAUGUAAAGCUUUAAUGAGCAAACAGCCAUAGAUGGUGGCAGCAGUGGUGCAGUUAGAUAAACUUAGAUUGUAAUGCAUAUUACUGUACUUCAGAGUAUGGUAAACACGAACUCCUUCUUAGAUGGAUGAAUAGGAAGCUAUCCCUCACAUUCUAGUCCAGUACAUUUUGAAGGUAUGAGACUUUUGAGAAAUAAUUCAUCCCCAAUAUACUUUCAGGUUCUCCCCCACCCAAGACACAAUGAAAACAGAAGGAAAUGCUGAUGAGCUGAGGAUUUUCACCAUGUGCUGAAGAGGCAAGCCAUUUGCUGCUUUAAACUUUUCAGCAGCACACACAACUCCAAAUUCAUAGAAACCUACAGUUGUGGCAUUGUCAGCCCUCCCACCCUGUGCUCUUAAAGUGCUAUCAAACUGCAGCUGCUGAAGAUAAACACAGAAUAAAAAGUGGCGGCCUUUAAACCAGCACAGCAGUCCUAACAGGAGGUUUCAAAACAUGUUCAACAUGCCCCAAACUCUGAUUGGAGCGUCCUGUGGAUCUUUAACUCAAGCAUUUGCUUUCUCAGUCUGCCUUUUAAAAUAAUCUGACAUGAAGUGGG
Non-coding RNA from Podarcis lilfordi (Lilford's wall lizard), 6384 nucleotides. The record is from the annotation of a GenBank genome assembly. NCBI's taxonomy places the organism in Eukaryota, Metazoa, Chordata, Lepidosauria, Squamata, Lacertidae.